Non-coding RNA from Crotalus tigris (Tiger rattlesnake), 443 nucleotides. The record is from the annotation of a RefSeq genome assembly. Lineage: Eukaryota; Metazoa; Chordata; Lepidosauria; Squamata; Viperidae.
UUCAACUUGACAGAGCCACAGACCAUGGAUUAGUCAAUGAGGAUUGAUCGAUGUCUAGUGAGAACUUCAGGGGAGGAGUCCAGUCUCAAGUGCAGCUGGUGGAGUCUGGAGGAGAUGUGCGAAGACCUGGAGGGUCCCUCCAUCUCUCCUGCCAAGCCUCAGGAUUCACCUUCAGCAACUAUUGGAUGGGCUGGGUGAGACAGGCUCCAGGGAAAGGACUGGUAUGGGUUGCAAGCAUGGAUACAUCUAGCACUUACUACUCAGACAAAGUGAAGGGUUGCUUCACCAUCUCCAGGGAUGAUGCCCAAAGCCAGCUGUAUCUGCAGAUGAACAGCCUCAAAGCUGAAGACAUGGCCAUCUAUUACUGUACGAGAGACACAGUGAGAGGAAGUGAAUCUGAAGGAGAUCUCAUUCAGAAAAAAAAAAUAGGAGUCCAGUUUUAA